AACACGAUUACUGGUCCACCUAGAAAUGCCGUGGAGCGAUUUAAGAGCCUCGGAAAUUUCCUUUAAGGUCAGGAGAGAAGCUGGUAACAGAUGGGGCGAAGGAGGAAAAGUUCUUUUUGCGGCACCCUCACGCCUUCCCAGCCCUUUCGCGGUUUACUCGCUCCCCGGAAAGCAGGGCAUUCAAGCAGCCCUGAGGAGAGGUCCACAUGGUGAGCCACUGAGGGCCUUGCCAAGAGCCAGCACCAACGGUCCAGGUUUGGAGUGUACCACCUUGGAAGUGAAUCUUCCAGUCCAGUCAAGCCUUCAGAUGACUUCAGAACCGUCCAUGUAAGCCACUCUUGGAUUCCUGACCCACAGAAACUGUUGGAGACAGACAAACAUGUGCCUCCUGAUUGAAAAAACAGAACAUCACCUGUAGUCUUGCCAGUGAGAUCAAACUGAAGUCCAAUUAACCUCUGGAUCCAGCUGCCAAUUUGCAGGAAAUAGAGGAGAGAAGCAUCUGUUGAACUGCACCAUGAGUAUACACUCAGCAAAGGCCAAACUGUGGAAAAUGAUACAGGUCAAACAGCCUGGAUUCUUUAACAGUAAGUGAUGUUUCUGAAGCACCAAUGAAAAUGAAGUCCUGAAGUCCUGUGCUCAAUAUGAAAUGUUGGAAGUUAGAAGAAAAAAACAAAACUUGGAUCCAAUCUCAAGGCACUUUUUGUUUAAUGGGAAGAAGUGGAUUAUUUUAAAAGCUACAAAUAAAGUUACAUAAAAGUAGCAAA
Molecule: long non-coding RNA, 764 nt
Filed under: Homo sapiens (human)
Lineage: Eukaryota; Metazoa; Chordata; Mammalia; Primates; Hominidae
Description: SIPA1L1 antisense RNA 1, transcript variant 8 (SIPA1L1-AS1)
Source: RNAcentral